This 535-nucleotide small RNA is filed under the name Rattus norvegicus (Norway rat). Its description in RNAcentral is "uncharacterized LOC102548829". The record is from RNAcentral. Lineage: Eukaryota; Metazoa; Chordata; Mammalia; Rodentia; Muridae.
AUGAACAACGAACCGGAAACAGGAAGUUGGAGCAGGAAGCCAGGGAUAACUGAAGGGACAGUCCAGAAAAAGGGGCAGAUACAUGCGCGUGUGGAUUCCAAAAUGUGUGCAAGAGAAGAAGACUGAUGCUUGAAUGUAACCUUGGUGUACCUAUACGUGUGACCACAUGAGCUGUCUAUUUUAAGAAAAAAUGCUUUAAAGGAAAAGGGGCAAAGACAUGGAAACAAAAAGACAAUGAGAAGAGAGACAUCUACCAGUAAAAAUUGGUAACAUGUCCAAAGCCAGGAAGUGGAUAAUGAUAUGUGCUCAACACACAGGACCACUAAAUACCUCAGCAUGCACUUGAUCAAGCUGAAACAGCUAAGGAAGUAGGACAGGAAUUGAGUUCUGGGGCCUGGGAACAUGAACUCGGUUUCUUGAUCCUGCCAGACAAGUGGAAUUUCUUCCUGCGAUGGCUGAACUCAGGAAACAGUCUCCUAACAGCAAGCUACCCGAAAUGCAGGGACAAAAAAUGGAGCAGAGACUGAAGAAAAGG